This 453-nucleotide ribosomal RNA is filed under the name uncultured bacterium. Its description in RNAcentral is "bacterial SSU rRNA". It matches the Rfam family "Bacterial small subunit ribosomal RNA", at positions 28 to 526 of the family's 1533-position model. The record is from RNAcentral.
GAUGAACGCUGGCGGUAUGCCUAACACAUGCAAGUCGAACGGUGUCUUCGGACAUAGUGGCGGACGGGUGAGUAACACGUAAGAACCUACCUUCAGGAUGGGGACAACAGUUGGAAACGACUGCUAAUACCCGAUGUGCCGAGAGGCGAAAGAUUUAUCGCCUGAAGAUGGGCUUGCGGCUGAUUAGCUAGUUGGUAGUGUAAGGGACUACCAAGGCAACGAUCAGUAGCUGGUCUGAGAGGAUGAGCAGCCACACUGGGACUGAGACACGGCCCAGACUCCUACGGGAGGCAGCAGUGGGGAAUUUUCCGCAAUGGGCGAAAGCCUGACGGAGCAAUACCGCGUGAGGGAGGAAGGUUCUUGGAUUGUAAACCUCUUUUCUCAGGGAAGAAUAAAUGACGGUACCUGAGGAAUAAGCAUCGGCUAACUCCGUGCCAGCAGCCGCCGUAACAC